GACUGGACCGGAGAGCAACUAGGGGCAGGAUUGGCUGAGGACUCUCUUAUCCCGCCCACAUUUUACCGCAGAGGCUUCUGUUGCUGUCUAUCAAGUAUAGCCACGCCCCCUGGCUCCGCCAACUUUAACGAUUUAUUUAAAAUUCAGUAUUGAUUUAUUUUAAGAUCGGCCACCUGAUCUCUCAUUUUGACCAUGAAAACUAACGGGAAAAAAAUCCUGAGCUGUAGAACAUCAGUCUAUCACAUUUUAUUUUCUCCAAAAAUGAAUUGGGGUCUAUGGAGAAAAAGCUUUUUGGAGCCAGCCCUAGCGGACGGCGUGAUAUUGGAAGUUUUUGACACUUCUGGGUGGGCUUCAAUUCUGGAGCCAGAUGCUACGUCCAUCUUUAUAUACAGUCUGUGGUUUGGAACUGACACAAGGACCAAGUGAUCAGAUUCUGGCAGUGAUGCAGCUUAUAGUCUGGAUCCAUGGAUUGGUUAAAGAUUUCUGUAUCAUUGCCGGAUAGCAGCACGGCGUCACUGUAACCAUGACAACCAGUGAACACUACAUCAGCUGAUUGUGAUCCUACUACAAAUCCACCUCUGAGGACUUAUCAGGACUUAUCCAUCAGAAAUGAUCUAAGGCUGAUUAAAUUGGAGGAGUUGUACGUUUUCUAGGCAGAACCCUUCACAUGUCAAAGAUUGAGUCUUUGUUGAGUGUUUUCCACUUAUAGUGCCAAAAACACCCAUCUCCUUUAUAAUUAACCCAAUCUAUAACGCAUGUAGCAGUCAAAGUCAAACUGCAGGACAUAUGUGAUGCUUAAAAAUGUUUGUGUGGUCUACAUGCGCUAUAAAAGGUCUGUACCCGUCGUUAAAAUCACAUUUUGCACCUUUAAGUUCAGGUUUAGCCGUGUAUAAUCCAGCAUUUGGUCCAACAGUCCGUGUUAUUCCAGCAGUGUGAACCGCUACUAGCUUUAUUCCUGCAUGUUUUGGUUUGCAUUUUUCCAUGGAAUGAAAAUAACUUGGAACUGGCAGCACAGCGAACGUUAUCUGGCACUUUUUAUUUUGGUAACUGUUUCCAAAGAAACAAGACUAACUUGAUAUUACACAAGUAAGUUCCCUCAGUGAAGAGAACCAGCGCUAGACAAAGACCAGUCAAGGCAAGGACUGUUUUGGAUUUUAUGAAAGGCGCAUUAUUGAAAUCAGCUCCAGCGUUUUCCUUCUAAGUGCCUCUGAGUAUGGCUGCUAAUAAAUCAGGUAAAUGCUCAGAUAACAGCGAGGGAUAACAAACCGAAAGAGGACUAUCACCGCAUCUCCUCCCAUUCCAUCAGCUCUAUUUAUAUCCUCCUGUGGAUCUGUCACCAAGACAAUGAGGACCGUGACGCUCGGCGGUGUCUCUUUACAGAACGACGGUGACUCACGCCGAAGCCCCAAUCCAGAACGGGUCUCUGGGUUCAGGUGGUCCGAGGACUCUUUGGGAUGGCAGACUGCUGGUACGGCUCGUGCAGGCAAACAUCUGGCUGCUCUCAGAGUUUAAACGGUGAUCAAUGCAUCGAUCAGCCCAAUUGAUUUGUUUCAAUUACCUGUUGAGCAAAAAUGCAAAGCCCCGGCUGCUGACGGCUUUUAAAGCACAGAGCUGCAGCAUCGAUCCACAGAAGGCGUCGAUAGUUUGAAUCGAUGCAUGUUUGUUUUUUACCUUCAGCUCAUUAAAUCAGAUGUUUUUCUGAAGCUUCGCUGAGUAAUCGUUGCAUCAGGAUGUUUCUGGCAGCUGCAGUCAGAUAACGGCAGCACAUUCACAUCCAUUAAACGUAAAAAGGAUCCUUUCUCUUAUUUUCAGUUUUUAUUUGACUUCAGCUGCUUUAUUUAAUAUGCAGACUAAACUCUGUCACCUUGUUUGGUUUCUUUUGGAGCUGGAUUUAAAUAAGAAUUCCUCUUUUAUUGACAUUUAUCAUGUUGGAGCUUCCAGUUUAAUGCUACAGUUCUGAACUUUAACAUAAACCUCAGUUUAUAUUCAUACUGUGCUGCAUUAUACAAUAAAUAGAAUAAAAGUCCUUUAUUAUCA
Acanthochromis polyacanthus (spiny chromis) is the source of this 2037-nucleotide long non-coding RNA. RefSeq lists it as uncharacterized. The record is from RefSeq and is a predicted model, not a curated record. NCBI's taxonomy places the organism in Eukaryota, Metazoa, Chordata, Actinopteri, Pomacentridae. The transcript is spliced from 2 exons.